This is a long non-coding RNA of Siniperca chuatsi (mandarin fish), 1411 nucleotides long. RefSeq lists it as uncharacterized. The transcript has 2 exons. NCBI's taxonomy places the organism in Eukaryota, Metazoa, Chordata, Actinopteri, Centrarchiformes, Sinipercidae. The record is from RefSeq and is a predicted model, not a curated record.
AUAAGAGCGUUGAUAGUUGUGAGUAUACAAUGCCCUCUGGUAGUAUCGGUGCAUCACAACGCCUCUGGCUUACUAUCAGUUUUAUUUUGAAGGUUAUAACCGGAAGUGGCACUAUGCUAUGGUGUCGCACUUGAUAUUACUCGCUGUGGCCACUAGAGGACAAGAAAAACAAUGAUUCCUAGUUUGUCAAGCUAGUAACAUGGACUGACUAUUUGAACUGUAGAAGGGAUUUAGUGGAUGCACAACUGUCCGCGAAAGCUACUUUCUUCGUCAAAGAGAAAAACGAUGCAAGAAGAUGAGGCUUACAUUUCAAUUGUUAUCUGGAAAUGGCCAAGAAAGUGCUCUUCUUGUAAAAGACAAGUUAAGUAAAGACAUUAUGUCACCAUCUCUGUUCCAGGAAACACAGUCGCCAGUUGAGAAAAGGGUUGAAAAUCUUUUUUGGAGCCCUUGUCCAAUAAGGUUGGAGGGUUGGGUAUAAGUGGGGUGUUUGCCACAAAUUGCGGACAGCCCCUCUCUCAAUUUGGUUUGAUAACAGAGUGUACAUUAUUAAUACCGAUGUUGCCUCAAAUGCAACUAGUAAUACUCUAAUUAAUACGUCUAAAAAUAAUAAUAACCAGUGUUCAUUACUCUUUAAUCAUACUAUUAUUGUAUUGUAUUAGUGUUAUUUGUAAUAAUCAUAAUAAUAAUGAGUUAAACAGCUCUUUCAUCUCUGUGACGUUUUUAACUUGGUCAGAUAUUUUACCCACCGUUUACUUAAUAUUAUUCUAAUGUUGAUGUUGAGCUUACACUUCAGGAAAUGGAUGAAAAUCUUUUUUAAAAGGCAUGACAUUUUACUGUAAGACCAUGUUGCAUAAAAUUCAUACACACAUACAUGAUCUUCUAUUGUCAAAUCUGUUCACAAGAUAUUGAAGUGUAACAGGCAGACUACCACGAAGUGCGCUGAGGUUUGCACCUAUAUGGAACAAUCCCUUUUAACGUUCUUUGCUUCAGUGUGUAUGUUGUAUUAUUGUUAGUUAUGUCCGACUAUUUCAUAUCGUGGGUGUAAUAACAAUUUCAGCCUUCAGGUGCUAUGGGGACUUCAGACUUUUACAUUUGUUUACUGAUCCACAAACACAAACAGUGUAUUGAUUAAGGCCUGCUGUGUAGUAUGGAGAUAAUAAAUACAGUGAAUGCUCCUUCACAUUUCAGACAUUUGAAUGAAGGCUUUGGGGGGAAAGCUUUAAUGCUAAAAUGUCCUCAAUAACUAGAACAUGUAGGCCACCAUUGUUAGCCAGUCUCUUUAAUGUGGAAAUGCAAAUCAUCACAGCAUAGGAAAGAUUAAUUAAAAAUGUCUCCUCACAUUAUCAAUUCAUAAAAGCUUUGUUGUUUAAAAAAAAACCCCUAAAUAUCUUGAAUCUCAACAUGAAGAAAU